GUGCCCUCGCUUGGGCAGCACACACCCUAAAAUUGGAAUGACACAGAGGAGACUAGCAUGGCCUUGCACAAGAUGACCUGCACGUUGAUGAAACUUUUCCAUCUUUA
RNAcentral lists this small nuclear RNA (107 nucleotides) under Zalophus californianus (California sea lion). The record is from RNAcentral. Lineage: Eukaryota; Metazoa; Chordata; Mammalia; Carnivora; Otariidae.